AAACAUUCUAGUAGCUUAAUCAAUAAAGC
Molecule: transfer RNA, 29 nt
Filed under: Batagur dhongoka (three-striped roofed turtle)
Lineage: Eukaryota; Metazoa; Chordata; Testudines; Geoemydidae
Description: partial transfer RNA-Thr
Source: RNAcentral